RNAcentral lists this small nuclear RNA (20 nucleotides) under Arabidopsis thaliana (thale cress). Its description in RNAcentral is "snRNA_08655". The record is from RNAcentral. Lineage: Eukaryota; Viridiplantae; Streptophyta; Magnoliopsida; Brassicales; Brassicaceae.
AUGUUGCUUCUUGGUUGAAG